CCCGGAUCUCAUGCGACGACGGGUAGCCGGCCUGAGAGGGCGACCGGCCACACUGGGACUGAGACACGGCCCAGACUCCUACGGGAGGCAGCAGUGGGGAAUAUUGCACAAUGGGCGAAAGCCUGAUGCAGCGACGCCGCGUGAGGGAUGACGGCCUUCGGGUUGUAAACCUCUUUCAGCAGGGAAGAAGCGCAAGUGACGGUACCUGCAGAAGAAGCGCCGGCUAACUACGUGCCAGCAGCCGCGGUAAUACGUAGGGCGCAAGCGUUGUCCGGAAUUAUUGGGCGUAAAGAGCUCGUAGGCGGCUUGUCACGUCGGAUGUGAAAGCCCGGGGCUUAACCCCGGGUCUGCAUUCGAUACGGGCUAGCUAGAGUGUGGUAGGGGAGAUCGGAAUUCCUGGUGUAGCGGUGAAAUGCGCAGAUAUCAGGAGGAACACCGGUGGCGAAGGCGGAUCUCUGGGCCAUUACUGACGCUGAGGAGCGAAAGCGUGGGGAGCGAACAGGAUUAGAUACCCUGGUAGUCCACGCCGUAAACGUUGGGAACUAGGUGUUGGCGACAUUCCACGUCGUCGGUGCCGCAGCUAACGCAUUAAGUUCCCCGCCUGGGGGGAGUACGGA
RNAcentral lists this ribosomal RNA (617 nucleotides) under Streptomyces sp. RNAcentral's name for it is "bacterial SSU rRNA". It matches the Rfam family "Bacterial small subunit ribosomal RNA", at positions 261 to 886 of the family's 1533-position model. The record is from RNAcentral. Lineage: Bacteria; Bacillati; Actinomycetota; Actinomycetes; Kitasatosporales; Streptomycetaceae.